AUCAGAUAAACGAUUUGGAAAUACGUUCUUCCAAGCUGAAGGCCUGAGGAGAGAAGACACAUAGUCAUGCUGACUAAACCAGAUCACCUAGAAUUACCAAAUGGAAAGAUUGUGCCUGCAGCCUGGCCUGUUGCCCACAGCGGUCUACCUGCCACACUGGGAAAGAUCGAGCAGAGACAGAGAAGAAAAGGAGGCUCCAUUUUUCAGGCUGCUCUCCCGCAGGCUCAUGUUUUGUGUUCAUGCCAGGCAGAGAACACAAAAUGUUCCAAUAAAUAAGUAUCAAAGGUUAGUGGUGAAAAUGAAGGAGGAGGAGGCAUUGCGUGAAAAACUAAACAUGCAAAAUAUUACACACAAAGAGAACCAAAAUGCAGGUUCACUGGAAAUGAUAGACAAUAUGUUAAAACAAGAGGAGAGAAGAGAGCUGAAAUAAUCAAAUGGAAACACACAAUUUAGGGCUAAGAUCUUGUUGUGUUCAGCCACAAAUGAUGGCCAGCAGUGAGGAAUCUGUGUGUUCUCCACACUCUUCGCUCCUGGGAAGUCAACUCACAUGGACCAUGAUAUCAAUAUCUGCUCCUUCCCCUAAUAUCUGUUUGACCUUGGGUCAGUUACUUAAACUUCCUAAGCCUUAGUUUCUUUGUCUGGAAAAUAGGGAUAGUUAUACCUACCACACAACCACUUUGUAAUGAAUAUGUUGGAAAUUAUAUGCAAAUUGGCUUCCGUUGGUGUUUGGAACAUAGUAGGUUUUUAACUGGAAUAUAAUAGCUACCAUUAUCAGUAUCAUCAUAUUAAUUUAUAUUUCCAUCUUCAGCCCUUAACCCAGGAUCUUCAGUAAAUGUUGAAUUCUCAAAUUUGUUAAAUUCACUUGUCUAUACUAAUAUUUUACUCUAGGUUUCUUAGAAUAUUCUAGAUAAUAUUAUUAUGUAGAAUAUGUUAUGUAAGCUUCAUCUUAUCUGUAAAUAUAGUUUUACUUUUUCCUUUCUAAUUUUUAUGUCGAUUACUUCUUUUUCUUGGCUUAUUGAAUUGGCUAGGAUUCCCGUACAGUGUUGAAUACGUGCAGCAAGACUGCACAUCUUGCCUUGUUCCUGGUCCCACAGAGAGAAUAUCCAGUACUUCACAAUAAGUAUGUGUUAAUUGUAGAUUUUAUUAGAUUGAGGAAGUUCCCUUUCCUUUCAAGUCAGUCUUUUUAUUUUAAACAUGUAUUGAAGUUUUGUCAAAUGUCUUCAUCUAUUGGAAUAAUUAUACAUAUCUCUUUUUUAUUCUGUUAAUAUUACAUUUCAAUCUUCUGUCUACCUAAAAUCCCUAGAAUAAUCUCCAUUUGGCUAUGAUGUGUUGUGCUUUUAUAUAUUACUGAAUUCUAUAUGCCAAUAUUAUUAAAAUUUUCUGUCUUUAUGAGAAAUAUUUGAAUGUAUAUUUUUUCAUGUAUUUGUUUUGAUUUUAUUUUCAAUGCCAUUUUGUAAAAGAGCAUUAAAGUGUUAGUAUGAAAGU
This is a long non-coding RNA of Homo sapiens (human), 1485 nucleotides long. Ensembl annotates it as CCDC26 long non-coding RNA. Its record names the gene CCDC26. Lineage: Eukaryota; Metazoa; Chordata; Mammalia; Primates; Hominidae. The record is from Ensembl.